This 485-nucleotide ribosomal RNA is filed under the name uncultured bacterium. RNAcentral's name for it is "partial 16S ribosomal RNA". It matches the Rfam family "Bacterial small subunit ribosomal RNA", at positions 30 to 507 of the family's 1533-position model. The record is from RNAcentral.
AUUGAACGCUGGCGGCAGGCUUAACACAUGCAAGUCGAGCGGGGAAAGGUAGCUUGCUACCUGACCUAGCGGCGGACGGGUGAGUAAUGCUUAGGAAUCUGCCUAUUAGUGGGGGACAACAUCUCGAAAGGGAUGCUAAUACCGCAUACGUCCUACGGGAGAAAGCAGGGGACCUUCGGGCCUUGCGCUAAUAGAUGAGCCUAAGUCGGAUUAGCUAGUUGGUGGGGUAAAGGCCUACCAAGGCGACGAUCUGGAGCGGGUCUGAGAGGAUGAUCCGCCACACUGGGACUGAGACACGGCCCAGACUCCUACGGGAGGCAGCAGUGGGGAAUAUUGGACAAUGGGGGGAACCCUGAUCCAGCCAUGCCGCGUGUGUGAAGAAGGCCUUUUGGUUGUAAAGCACUUUAAGCGAGGAGGAGGCUACCGAGAUUAAUACUCUUGGAUAGUGGACGUUACUCGCAGAAUAAGCACCGGCUAACUCUGUG